UUCAAGUGAUGAUUAUUCAUAUUUGCUACUUCAGACGUUGCUUGCCAGCUUCGAAUGAGACAUACCAUUUUAUCACCAAGAUCUCUGAUUGAA
Molecule: small nucleolar RNA, 93 nt
Filed under: Lodderomyces elongisporus NRRL YB-4239
Lineage: Eukaryota; Fungi; Ascomycota; Pichiomycetes; Serinales; Debaryomycetaceae
Description: Small nucleolar RNA SNORD24
Rfam family: Small nucleolar RNA SNORD24
About the family: U24 is a member of the C/D class of snoRNA which contain the C (UGAUGA) and D (CUGA) box motifs. C/D box snoRNAs have been shown to act as methylation guides for a number of RNA targets.
Source: Rfam by way of RNAcentral